GACGAACGCUGGCGGCGUGCUUAACACAUGCAAGUCGAACGGUAAGGCCCUUCGGGGUACACGAGUGGCGAACGGGUGAGUAACACGUGGGUGAUCUGCCCUGCACUUCGGGAUAAGCCUGGGAAACUGGGUCUAAUACCGGAUAGGACUCCUGGCUUCAUGGUUGGGGGUGGAAAGCUUUUGCGGUGUGGGAUGGGCCCGCGGCCUAUCAGCUUGUUGAGGGGGUAAUGGCCUACCAAGGCGACGACGGGUAGCCGGCCUGAGAGGGUGACCGGUAACACUGGGAGUGAGAUACGCGCCAGACUCCUACGGGAGGCAGCAGUGGGGAAUAUUGCACAAUGGGCGCAAGCCUGAUGCAGCGACGCCGCGUGAGGGAUGACGGCCUUCGGGUUGUAAACCUCUUUCAGCAGGGAAUAAGCGAAAGUGAAGGUACCUGCAGAAGAAGCACCGGCUAACUAUGUGCCAGCAGCCGCUGUAA
Molecule: ribosomal RNA, 478 nt
Filed under: uncultured bacterium
Lineage: Bacteria
Description: partial 16S ribosomal RNA
Rfam family: Bacterial small subunit ribosomal RNA
Source: RNAcentral